CAGCAGCCGCGGUAAUACGAAGGGGGCUAGCGUUGUUCGGAAUUACUGGGCGUAAAGCGCACGUAGGCGGAUAUUUAAGUCAGGGGUGAAAUCCCAGAGCUCAACUCUGGAACUGCCUUUGAUACUGGGUAUCUUGAGUAUGGAAGAGGUGAGUGGAAUUCCGAGUGUAGAGGUGAAAUUCGUAGAUAUUCGGAGGAACACCAGUGGCGAAGGCGGCUCACUGGUCCAUUACUGACGCUGAGGUGCGAAAGCGUGGGGAGCAAACAGGAUUAGAUACCCCUGUAGUCCAUGUCUCUUAUAC
Molecule: ribosomal RNA, 301 nt
Filed under: uncultured bacterium
Lineage: Bacteria
Description: partial 16S ribosomal RNA
Rfam family: Bacterial small subunit ribosomal RNA
Source: RNAcentral